AGGACGAACGCUGGCGGCGUGCUUAACACAUGCAAGUCGAGCGGAAAGGCCCUUCGGGGUACUCGAGCGGCGAACGGGUGAGUAACACGUGAGUAAUCUGCCCCUAGCUCUGGGAUAGCUCCGGGAAACCGGGAUUAAUACCAGAUACGACCACUUUAGACAUCUGUUGUGGUGGAAAGAAUUUCGGCUAGGGAUGAGCUCGCGGCCUAUCAGCUUGUUGGUGAGGUAACGGCUCACCAAGGCGACGACGGGUAGCCGGCCUGAGAGGGCGACCGGCCACACUGGGACUGAGACACGGCCCAGACUCCUACGGGAGGCAGCAGUGGGGAAUAUUGCGCAAUGGGCGAAAGCCUGACGCAGCGACGCCGCGUGGGGGAUGAAGGCCUUCGGUUGUAAACCCUUUCAGCAGGACGAAGCGAAAGUGACGGUACCUAGCAGAAGAAGCGCCGGCUAACUACGUGCCAGCAGCCGC
Molecule: ribosomal RNA, 472 nt
Filed under: uncultured bacterium
Lineage: Bacteria
Description: SSU rRNA
Rfam family: Bacterial small subunit ribosomal RNA
Source: RNAcentral